CGUUCCGGGGAAACCUGCAGGACAGGAGCGCGCUGGCAGCCAGCGCGGAGCCGCGUCGCGGCGCCCCCCACCCUUGGCGGCCCCUACCCUGCGCGACCCUGGGUUUUAUGGCUGGGCACGCUUGGGUGGCAGAGGGGUCGCGGCCACCCAUCUUAAGAGGAGGCACACAUGCUUGUGGGCCGGUCCCCGCUGAGGCUGCCGGCCCCUGGGACCCAAGUCUGCAGGCACACGGAGCCUCUGGGUGCCAAGGGUGCCGGCCAGCGAGGAGAGAGAGGAGGAUUAGGCUCUAUCUAGGUUCUGACGGCGGUGCAGCUUGGCCCGAAUAUGCCCAAAUCCUCUGGGGUCUCCAGACCUCAGAUCUCCCCUUCUGAGAAGAUGGGACCACCCAAGGUCACAGGAGGCCCUGUGUGGUCACAGGCUGCCACGUGGGGUCACACGAGGUCAGGGAAGUCUCAUGCGGAUCACAUGGAGUCAUAGAAUCUCAGGACAGAGGCCAUUAUAUUCAUACACAACCAUGUGUGGCACAUGAAGUCUCAACAAGCCCCUCAGAGCUGCAGUGAGUGGCCACACAGCCACCCACAUCUGGAUGAUCACACUGCUGGCUGAGGGGUUGGACACCUUCUGUUCCAGUGUCUGGGAUUGAAAGGAGGAAGCCCAGUUGCACAUUCUUCUAAAAGACAGGCCUCCAGCACCGAGGACAGCGCUCAGGCAGCCCGACCCUGGCUCUAUACCUGCUGCUCUCCCAGGCCUGGCCCCAGCUGGCCCAGGAACAAGAGGGUAGGAAACCAGAGAGCAGAGGUGAGGCAGCAGAGGGUGGAAGAGCCAGGGGCCUCCUGGGAGCCGCUGGAGACCACCUACCCUCUGCACAUGUGCUUACAGCUCAGUGACUGGGGAGCCUGUUCCUUUGGGGCCUGCAGUACCGGCAGAUGUGUGCCCUGGCCUGUCUGUGUAUACCCUGUAGGUGCAAGUGUGCAGAUGUGUACCUCUGAGGCACUCCCCAUGUUUACUAUAGGACCCUCCACUUUCUUCCCCGUUGCAAGAUCUGGGCUCUUGGAGAGUUGUUUCCACUAAAACUUCGGCACAGCCUGGUAGGAUCUCUCCAUAAAUGUGUCAUGUGACUGUCAGAAUGCCCCCUUCUUUCCCAUUGGCAGCAGAUUAACUGAAGACCUGCUGGUGCUCAGGAGGAGACCCAGGGGGAUCCAGAAGGCUGGGCAGAAAGAAGACACCUCCCCCAGACCAGAUUGGCCUAGAGAAGUGGGCAGGCCUAGGCAGGGGGACCAGCAAAACAUUUCUUUGCAGAGCAGCAGCCCCGGGGCCAGGCAGCAGGCCCUGGGCCCAGCCCUGCUUUGCAGCACUCAGCAUCAGGAGCUUUGCUGCAGAAGUGCUCCAGGACAUUGCGGCUCUUGGCAGCCUCCUCUCCAGAGUGAUGUCAUGGGACACAUUUAGCCUGGCCUCCUGCAGGAUGUUGCAUCCACUUGCUCUUCCUACAGAUGUCUCUGCUGUUUGUGAAUAUUUUAAUUAAAAAACCUGUGCUGGAGCUGUGA
This is a long non-coding RNA of Manis javanica (Malayan pangolin), 1544 nucleotides long. RefSeq lists it as uncharacterized. The record is from RefSeq and is a predicted model, not a curated record. Lineage: Eukaryota; Metazoa; Chordata; Mammalia; Pholidota; Manidae.